UACGGGGGGGGCAAGCGUUGUUCGGAAUUACUGGGCGUAAAGGGCUCGUAGGCGGCCAACUAAGUCAGACGUGAAAUCCCUCGGCUUAACCGGGGAACUGCGUCUGAUACUGGAUGGCUUGAGGUUGGGAGAGGGAUGCGGAAUUCCAGGUGUAGCGGUGAAAUGCGUAGAUAUCAGGAGGAACACCGAUGGCGAAGGCAGGUCUCUGGGCUGACACUGACGCUCAUGCACGAAAGCGUGGGGAGCAAACAGG
This 253-nucleotide ribosomal RNA is filed under the name uncultured bacterium. Its description in RNAcentral is "partial 16S ribosomal RNA". It matches the Rfam family "Bacterial small subunit ribosomal RNA", at positions 524 to 776 of the family's 1533-position model. The record is from RNAcentral.